UGGAUCCAGACUUUGAUUAUGGCUCAGGACGAACGCUGGCGGCGUGCCUAACACAUGCAAGUCGAACGGAACUAUUUUAAAAGAUUUCUUCGGAAUGAUUUUGGCUUAGUUUAGUGGCGGACGGGUGAGUAACGCGUGAGUAACCUGCCUUCAAGAGGGGGAUAACGUUCUGAAAAGGACGCUAAUACCGCAUAACAUAUCGGAAUCGCAUGGUUCUGAUAUCAAAGAUUUUAUCGCUUGAAGAUGGACUCGCGUCCGAUUAGUUAGUUGGUGAGGUAACGGCUCACCAAGACCGCGAUCGGUAGCCGGACUGAGAGGUUGAACGGCCACAUUGGGACUGAGACACGGCCCAGACUCCCACGGGAGGCAGCAGUGGGGGAUAUUGCGCAAUGGGGGCAACCCUGACGCAGCAACGCCGCGUGAAGGAUGAAGGUUUUCGGAUUGUAAACUUCUUUUCUUAAGGACGAAAAUUGACGGUACUUAAGGAAUAAGCUCCGGCUAACUACGUGCCAGCAGCCGCGGUAAUACGUAGGGAGCAAGCGUUGUCCGGAUUUACUGGGUGUAAAGGGUGCGUAGGCGGCAAUGCAAGUCAGAUGUGAAAUCUAUGGGCUCAACCCAUAAACUGCAUUUGAAACUGCGUUGCUUGAGUGAAGUAGAGGCAGGCGGAAUUCCCCGUGUAGCGGUGAAAUGCGUAGAGAUGGGGAGGAACACCAGUGGCGAAGGCGGCCUGCUGGGCUUUAACUGACGCUGAGGCACGAAAGCGUGGGUAGCAAACAGGAUUAGAUACCCUGGUAGUCCACGCUGUAAACGAUGAUUACUAGGUGUGGGGGGUCUGACCCCUUCCGUGCCGGGGUUAACACAAUAAGUAAUCCACCUGGGGAGUACGGCCGCAAGGUUGCAACUCAAAUGAAUUGACGGA
RNAcentral lists this ribosomal RNA (919 nucleotides) under uncultured Bacillota bacterium. Its description in RNAcentral is "bacterial SSU rRNA". It matches the Rfam family "Bacterial small subunit ribosomal RNA", at positions 1 to 917 of the family's 1533-position model. Lineage: Bacteria; Bacillati; Bacillota. The record is from RNAcentral.